UACGGAGGGUGCGAGCGUUGUCCGGAAUCAUUGGGCGUAAAGGGCGCGUAGGUGGCCCGGUCAGUUCGUGGUGAAAGCGCGGGGCUCAACCCUGCGUCGGCCAUGAAUACUGCCGCGGCUGGAGCACUGUAGAGGCAGGCGGAAUUCCGGGUGUAGCGGUGGAAUGCGUAGAGAUCCGGAAGAACACCGGUGGCGAAGGCGGUCUGCUGGGCAGUAGCUGACACUGAGGCGCGACAGCGUGGGGAGCAAACAGG
This 254-nucleotide ribosomal RNA is filed under the name uncultured bacterium. RNAcentral describes it as "partial 16S ribosomal RNA". It matches the Rfam family "Bacterial small subunit ribosomal RNA", at positions 524 to 776 of the family's 1533-position model. The record is from RNAcentral.